RNAcentral lists this ribosomal RNA (253 nucleotides) under uncultured bacterium. RNAcentral describes it as "partial 16S ribosomal RNA". It matches the Rfam family "Bacterial small subunit ribosomal RNA", at positions 524 to 776 of the family's 1533-position model. The record is from RNAcentral.
UACGUAGGGUGCGAGCGUUACUCGGAAUUACUGAGCGUAAAGCGUGCGCAGGCGGUUCGUUAAGUCAGAUGUGAAAGCCCCGGGCUCAACCUGGGAACUGCAUUUGAAACUGGCGGGCUUGAGUGUGGCAGAGGGGGGUGGAAUUCCGCGUGUAGCAGUGAAAUGCGUAGAGAUGCGGAGGAACACCGAUGGCGAAGGCAGCCCCCUGGGCCAACACUGACGCUCAGGCACGAAAGCGUGGGGAGCAAACAGG